This is a non-coding RNA of Cricetulus griseus (Chinese hamster), 2279 nucleotides long. The record is from RefSeq and is a predicted model, not a curated record. Lineage: Eukaryota; Metazoa; Chordata; Mammalia; Rodentia; Cricetidae.
GGCUGCGGAGAGGUCCUGCAGCCGGACGUUUCGGGUCGCGCCUGCCUAGGAAGAGAAAAGCGUUCCGGGUGGCGCCCACACACACCGCAGUUCCUGGAGGGGCGGGGAGCGGGCGUCGGUCACCCUCGUCCCGUGCUCGCCAAGUCCGCUGCCUGAGCCCUGCAAUGUGUGCUGUGCUCCGCAAACCCAAGAGCGUCAAGUUGCGAGCCCUCCACAGCGAGUGCAAGUUCGGCGUGGCGGCACGGAGCUGCCAGGAGCUGCUGCACAAGGGCUGCGUCCGCUUCCAGCUCCCGGUGUCCGGCUCCCGGCUGUGCUUGUACGAAGAUGGCACGGAGGUGACCGACGACUACUUCCCGGGUCUCCCCAACGACGCCGAACUCCUGCUGCUCGCUGCUGGCCAGACCUGGCAGGGCUAUGUGAGUGACAUCAGUCGCUUCCUCAGUGUGUUUAAUGAGCCACAUGCCGGGGUCAUCCGGGCUGCAAGGCAACUGCUGUCAGAUGAGCAGGCCCCACGGAGGCAGAAGCUGCUGGCUGACCUUCUGCAUCAUGUCAGCCAGAACAUUACUGCUGAGACCCGGGAACAGGAUCCAUCCUGGUUUGAAGGUUUGGAGUCUCGAUUCAGGAACAAGUCUGGUUACCUGAGAUAUAACUGCGAGAGCCGUAUCCGGGGCUACCUGAGAGAGGUGAGUGCUUACACCUCUGUGGUGGAUGCAGCGGCCCGAGGAGAAUUCGAGCGGGUCCUUAGUUCCAUGAGCCAGAAGCUCAAAUCUGUGAAGUACAACGGCAGCUACUUUGACAGGGGUGCAGAAGCCAGCAGCCGUCUCUGCACUCCAGAAGGCUGGUUUUCCUGCCAGGUGAGAUUUGUCGACAGGGGUGCAGAGGCCAGCAGCCGUCUCUGCACUCCAGAAGGCUGGUUUUCCUGCCAGGUGAGAUUUGUCGACAGGGGUGCAGAGGCCAGCAGCCGUCUCUGCACUCCAGAAGGCUGGUUUUCCUGCCAGGUGAGAUUUGUCGACAGGGGUGCAGAGGCCAGCAGCCGUCUCUGCACUCCAGAAGGCUGGUUUUCCUGCCAGGUGAGAUUUGCGCCCUUUGUUCUGGGGUCACUAAGUACUGCUGAGCAUAGCCCUCCUUGGGUGAGAGGCAGGAAGGACAUUCGGCAGCUGGCCUAAGAGUAGAUGCUGGUGACCCUCACAUUCAGAGUGCGGGAGGAGGUAGGGAUGGAGGUGUGCAGUUUUUGGUGUGUUAGUCUGUGGUAACAUCAGAGCACAAAAGCAUGCUGGGAGUAACAGGUCUGCUCCUGUGUGGACCUGUAGAGCCAUCUAGCAGAGGAUGGUUCUCUAGCAACAGGGACAGAAAUGCCUUCACCUUUUGGAAACUCAGAUUACAAGUUCAGAGGCAAUGGAAUGUUGGAGGCAGGUAGAAUUCCAAAGACAGAAUUUUUAAAAAAUUAGGUUUAUUUUUUAUGUAUAUGGGUGUUUUGCCCAUGUAUGUGUCUGUGCACAUGUGUGCCUGGUUCCCUGUGGAGGCCAGAAGAGGGUGUCAAAUCCCCUAGAAUUGAAGUUACAGAUGUGGUUACAGUGUGGUUCUGGGAAUGAAACUUUGGUCCUCUAGAAGAACAGCCCAUGCUCUUAAUCUCUGAACCACCUCUCCAGCCCACAAAGAGAAUUUUUAAUCGCUGAUGAACAGCAAACACUUUUGUGUUUUUAAAAUGAGGUCUUAAUAUGUAGUUGAGGCUAGACUUAAGAUCACUAUAAGCCCAGACUGACUUAAUAUUUGUUUUAUUUUUGUGUAUAUGUAUGUAAUGUUUGUGUGUGAGUGUAUACAUUCCACGGCAUGGGUGUGGUCAGAGGACAAACCACACCUGGCUUUUAUAUGGACUCCACCAUCUGAACAUGGUUCUCAGGCUUGUGUGGCAAGUGCUUUUCCCAUUGAGCCAUCUCCCUGGCCUUAAACUCUAAAUCCUCCUGCCUUUGCCUCUUAGUCCUGGGGAUACAGGUGUUGCCACUGCCUGGUUCAAACUUCUGUUCAUGGAUAAAAUGCCUGUGGGGCCUGCUCCUUAAUAAGCUUGUUGGUUUGGAGAACAGUACUGUACCUCACCCCUACCUUUCCAACCCUGCCUUGGUCACUGCAGGGCCCCUUUGACAUGGAUAGCUGUCUUUCCAAGCACUCCAUCAACCCCUAUGGCAACAGGGAGAGCCGGAUCCUCUUCAGCACCUGGAACCUGGAUCAUAUAAUAGAGAAGAGGCGCACCGUGGUGCCCACGCUGGCUGAAGCAAUCCAGG